UACGGGGGGAGCAAGCGUUGUUCGGAUUUACUGGGCGUAAAGGGCGCGUAGGCGGCGUAACAAGUCACUUGUGAAAUCUCCCGGCUUAACUGGGAGGCGCCAUUCAAUACUGAGGAGCUUGAGGUCAGCAGGGGAAAGUGGAAUUCCCGGUGUAGUGGUGGAAUGCGUAGAGAUCGGGAGGAACACCAGUGGCGAAAGCGACUUUCUGGGCUGCACCUGACACUCUAGUGCGAAAGCGUGGGGAGCAAACAGG
This 253-nucleotide ribosomal RNA is filed under the name uncultured bacterium. RNAcentral's name for it is "partial 16S ribosomal RNA". It matches the Rfam family "Bacterial small subunit ribosomal RNA", at positions 524 to 776 of the family's 1533-position model. The record is from RNAcentral.